GGCCUUUCAUUGCUUUGGGACAUUACCUGUGCUACAGCUGGUGUGGCAGACAGAGACAGGAUAUCACUCAGGGAAUACAGUACCACAAAGGGCCCAUCUGGUGGCACUAUUAGCUGAAGUCUUUAUUUCACAAACAGAAGGACAGAUCUUAUACAAGAAAAAGAAAGAAGGAGAAGGACAUUUCUCACUAAUGGUGCUACUCAUGUUGCAGUGGUCAAGUAAAAUGCUCAAGGUUCAUUUUAUGUGCCUGUAACAUUACCUUCUCUUCAGUCCCAUUCUCAGGAUUCCUACAGCAUAAUGUGAGACAAAUCUACACAAGAUGAGAAUAUCUACGUGUUCAAAAUGCAGACUUUUAACCUGAUACAGUAAGAAAGGAAGUUUGUAAUUGAAAAUUAAUUCAUACUGGGAUGUGCAGUCAAUAGACAAUUACUAAGAUACAGCUUGUGUUUAUUGCUUGAGGAAUUUUACACAAGAUUUAUAACAUCUAAAAGCAAUUACCUUUACAUGUAAAGAACAGUCUAAAAAGAUGAAACUUAAUUACUAUAGAAGCCUUCAAACAUUCUUUAUCUUGUAUAUAUAAUCACCAACCAGAGAGUAAUUAAAAAACAUAAAAAAUUAGAUGUGAAAGUCAGCAUGUUAUCCAUGUCAAAAAGAUUAUAUAAGAAUCCCUACGUUGUCCACAAUUCUUGUUCUAUCAGUUUUACAGGAGAGUGGCACUACUAUUUUACUCCACAUGUAAGAAAUGAAAAUCAGAUCUAAUGUUUAUGAACUUGAGGUCAAAUAGGAUCAAUUUUUUAAUAGUCAGGUGCAUCACUGUCUC
RNAcentral lists this long non-coding RNA (820 nucleotides) under Anser brachyrhynchus (Pink-footed goose). Its description in RNAcentral is "lncRNA (ENSABRG00000004822.1)". The record is from RNAcentral. Lineage: Eukaryota; Metazoa; Chordata; Aves; Anseriformes; Anatidae.